This 496-nucleotide ribosomal RNA is filed under the name uncultured bacterium. Its description in RNAcentral is "partial 16S ribosomal RNA". It matches the Rfam family "Bacterial small subunit ribosomal RNA", at positions 28 to 506 of the family's 1533-position model. The record is from RNAcentral.
GAUUAACGCUGGCGGCGUGCCUAAUACAUGCAAGUCGAGCGAACAGACGAGGAGCUUGCUCCUCUGACGUUAGCGGCGGACGGGUGAGUAACACGUGGAUAACCUACCUAUAAGACUGGGAUAACUUCGGGAAACCGGAGCUAAUACCGGAUAAUAUAUUGAACCGCAUGGUUCAAUAGUGAAAGACGGUUUUGCUGUCACUUAUAGAUGGAUCCGCGCCGCAUUAGCUAGUUGGUAAGGUAACGGCUUACCAAGGCAACGAUGCGUAGCCGACCUGAGAGGGUGAUCGGCCACACUGGAACUGAGACACGGUCCAGACUCCUACGGGAGGCAGCAGUAGGGAAUCUUCCGCAAUGGGCGAAAGCCUGACGGAGCAACGCCGCGUGAGUGAUGAAGGUCUUCGGAUCGUAAAACUCUGUUAUUAGGGAAGAACAAAUGUGUAAGUAACUAUGCACGUCUUGACGGUACCUAAUCAGAAAGCCACGGCUAACUACGU